UUUUACGGAAGCACAUGAAAGCAGCACGACAGGCGCUUCCCAGCGCACAGCUGAGGUGAGAACAAAACAACAUGAGCUGGCGAAGUCUGACCGCAUAGCCUCAAAAAUGUGGACGGAGGUGAAAAACAACAGCAACUAUGUCACCAGCAACGGAAACAGCUCGAAAAUGGCUGACCCAGAUCUGACAUGGCAGCUUCUUCAACAGAGAAACGUUUCAACUGCAGCUGCCACUCGUCCUUCUGGCACAGACGACUCUUUAACCAGGACCAGCGGCAUCAUCCCUGAGGAACUGGUUCACUCAGCUCAGCAGGAUGAAAAGCAAGGAAACAAAUUGUGUCUGGAUUAGGCCCAACAAAAAAUACAACACGCAGCGAAUCAUGCUACGCUGCAGUUGUGUUUGAUUGCAGCCACAGUGUUCAUCACUUUUUUACUUGCUCUCUAUGCCGUCCUGUGGAAGUGCAUGGUGUCGCCGCCACAACGAAAACACAGCAAGGCGAGAGUAAGAGUGCAACAGAGAACGUCUGUGUGAAGACUGGGCCUCGUGGUUGAAAAUACCCUGCAUCUGUCCAGCAGGUUCUUAUGGAUCUUAAUGUUGCAGACCAAAAUCUGAGAGCAGACUUUGCUCCCAGUCUAAGAGUAGCACCAGGGUGACAAUAUGCCACUGAAGAUCCUCCUUACAGAUCCAAAGAUCAAACCGCAAAAAACUAACUGAACUGAGUGGAGGUGCCACCUUUUCCCCUCAGCUUUACUGUUUGUUGGUGGCUCCUGUUGAAACGAAGCUGGCAGGUCAAACUGUUCCGCUUUCUUGUGGGGUUUUUUUUUUUCCCUGUGAACUCUGCACUACUGAGGGAUGAGACAGCUCAGG
Thunnus maccoyii (southern bluefin tuna) is the source of this 865-nucleotide RNA transcript. RefSeq lists it as uncharacterized. NCBI's taxonomy places the organism in Eukaryota, Metazoa, Chordata, Actinopteri, Scombriformes, Scombridae. The transcript is spliced from 6 exons. The record is from RefSeq and is a predicted model, not a curated record.